Molecule: long non-coding RNA, 1681 nt
Organism: Triticum dicoccoides
Lineage: Eukaryota; Viridiplantae; Streptophyta; Magnoliopsida; Poales; Poaceae
Exons: 5
Source: RefSeq, a predicted model, not a curated record
GCAAAACUGUUUCGUUCUUCAGCCCCGAAACUUACGGGCUCUUUCCAUCGCGAGGCAUGUUCCCCUCGCUCUUCCUCUCCAGAUUUUCCGAGUCUGAAACCCACGCCCUCCAACGCUGCCUCUCCCCAUGUUUGACGCGCGCCGCGAGGCGCCUCGCCGGCAUCGUCCAGCUCACCAACGCCGCCUCCCCUCCAUCCAACGUCGCCGUCCUUCACAACGUUCACCCCUCCGCUCCCUCCAACACGCCGCGCAUCGUGUCCAUGUACAUCGAGAUGCAGACGAACCGCCCAUGUAUUCACUCCUGCUUCACGCUCGCCGGCUGCGGCUGCGGCGGAGUUUGGCAAGGCCAAUCACCUGGUUAAUGCGGGUCGUCGUGGCGUACAUGGUGAUUGAUAGCCUCACCGUGUUGCCGGAAAAUAUCCCCGUGUUUCCCAUGUCCGCAUCUCCAGCAUCACGCUACUGAACAUCUUCGCGGUGGCGGAUCUGGGCGCUUUGCAGGAGAAGACCGUGCAGAUCGGCUACAAGGAUAUGAGUGAGAUCGAUCUACCGGUCUGUGUUUUUUAGGAUGGUACCGCACACUGCCAGUCCGGGCAGGAGCUACUUGGUGACUCCCUGAUGCACAGGCAUAUGGGUAAAUAAUUUUGUUUAGUGCUAAGUAGGAGCUAAGUCUGCAUGUGCAUCAGGUAAUACAAGUCGCUGUGCGUCAUGGUGAAGCUAAUUUGCUGCACGCUAGCAAUCGAUCCCUCAAGUUCUGCCAGAGCAGCGCACGUUCAUUGCUCACAAGACUGGUGCAGACGCACGGCUCCACGAAUCCACGGACCAAGGUGUGGAGGCAGGCUGCAGUGCCGCAGUAGGCGGAAGCAACAUACAUCAUUUAUGUCCAUCAAGUCCCGAGAGAACUACUAAUAGCUAGCUGGAAAGAUGUUUUAGAGAAUUUGUUUGGAGGCCGACAGCGGGCUCGAGUCUAUCUCUGUCUCACGAACAGGGUGGACAGGUUCACGACUCGACUGAUUGACUGAAUCGGAGCAAACAAUUCAGCAAACACCUUAUGGGCAGAGGUAGAGAAGCAGAGUAUGGGCACUAGCACAGCUUACCUUUUUAUCUUCCUCUUGGACUGGCAGCAUGGACUGGAAAAUUGUCCCAACCAUCUUGGACACACCCCAGGCAGGUGCUGCCAGCUGCCAUGGUCGAGGCAUGAGGUUCGACGUGGUGAUCAAGGAGGUGCAGGGAACAGAGAAACUGAAUAUUUUGUUUGCAAGACGGUUAUCAUAUACUCUAAUUCAGACAUAAGUGAUGACAUAAUAACGCGCUUCGCCAAUUUCUAAUUCAGGCGGGCGUAGCUUAGCUUGGGACCAAGCACGUGCAACAGUUAUUGUCUUCUUCAUGCCCCGUAAGUUGCUUCUGUCAUGCAUGUAAACAAAGACGCCACCGACAGUAACGGCAUGCAUAGUGAGGUCGUUGCCCGGCAUGAUCUUGCUUUGAGCUGCUUGGAGACUUGCUUUGAGCUGCUUGGAUGAUACUGCUUCAGUGUAUUCUUGCUUGUUUGUCCUAUUUUUUCAGUGAAAUGCUGAAGAUAUGUAGUUGAUUGCCAGUAUUUGAUCGCCCUGCAAUAUUUUUUGACUUGGUUAUUUGUAUAUUGUACGAGCUUGAAUAUUGAAUAAGUAGCGUAUCUAUUAAAUUA